UCUCCGUAGGUGAACCUGCGGAGGGAUCAUUACAGAGUUCUCGCCCUCGCGGGUAGAUCUCCCACCCACCGUUAUCGUUACUGUGUUGCUUUGGCGGGCCGCCGGGCCCCGCUCGGCCGCCGGCUCCGGCUGGCGCGCGCCCGCCAGAGGCCCAGCAAACUCUGAAUGUUAGUGUCGUCUGAGUACUACAUAAUAGUUAAAACUUUCAACAACGGAUCUCUUGGUUCUG
Molecule: unclassified non-coding RNA, 229 nt
Filed under: plant metagenome
Description: partial contains small subunit ribosomal RNA, internal transcribed spacer 1, and 5.8S ribosomal RNA
Source: RNAcentral